CAUCCUCAGCCUCACACUGACUUGAUGCUGCAUCGGACCGUGAAGGCACCACCCGAGAAGAGCCAACAACAAAUGACUGCCAGGAGGAUUUAACCCGAAGAGGAAGAGGAGGAAGAGGAGGAGGAGGAGGAGGAGGUGGGAUCCAGGACCGGAGCAGCAUCAGGACCACAGACCCCUGAUCUGAUCCACGUCUGUUCCGGAAGCAGAACCAGCCUCCAUCGGACCAGGAUGAGCGGUCUGAGUAAAAGAGAGCGCGAGCAGAAGAGGAAACUGCAACACUUCCUGAAUGACCUGGCUUUACUGGGAUCACUACAGGGUUUUAAAUAUUUUCAGCCUUGGCUUCGAGGAAAAGAAGAACUGCUGCUGACGGUGGUCAACGAAGACCUGGUCUGUGUCAACUGGACUGUACUGGACUCACUAACAGGAACAGUAACAGAGUAACAGUAACAGAAGAGUAAUAGUAGAGUA
This is a long non-coding RNA of Sphaeramia orbicularis (orbiculate cardinalfish), 468 nucleotides long. RefSeq lists it as uncharacterized. Lineage: Eukaryota; Metazoa; Chordata; Actinopteri; Kurtiformes; Apogonidae. The transcript is spliced from 3 exons. The record is from RefSeq and is a predicted model, not a curated record.